This is a long non-coding RNA of Vespa crabro (European hornet), 1140 nucleotides long. RefSeq lists it as uncharacterized. The transcript has 3 exons. The record is from RefSeq and is a predicted model, not a curated record. NCBI's taxonomy places the organism in Eukaryota, Metazoa, Arthropoda, Insecta, Hymenoptera, Vespidae.
GAAUGCGAUCCUUGACACCAUGCUUGCGGCUUGUCUCGCGCUAUCAAUGACGCUCAGCAACGCGGAAGCCAUUAGCCAUAUGGCAUAUGCCGAGCUGUACCGUCUAUCCGUCUAUCCGUUCGUUCGUUCGUUCAUUCGUUCGUUCCUUCCUUCCUACGAUGCGCGAUGGCCGCGUUCGUUUCUUCACUACUCAGGAAUCUUUUAACGAAGCGAGGAUCGAAUUCAUUCGCCUGGCUCCGUGUGCAAGGCUCGUACAUCAACCUGUCAUAAUUAAUAGCGCCUUUUUGUGCCCGGACUUCUACAACCCCUUCUAUCUUGAUACUUUGUCUUAGGAACGGCGCAACGUACUAGAAGGGCUAUUUAUACUAUUGUACUAUCGGCACUAUGCGAGAGUCACGUCCGACACACGAUAUAUUUAUAUUCGAGAGAUCGUACCAUGAGAGGGAAUACCAGAAAAAUCUCAGGAACUCUUGGAUAAUGUAAGCAGUCCCAUUGUAACGUCUCGCAUCGUAAAAACUCAAUAAAGUCUAUCUGUAUUUUCUAUCCGUCUCUUUUUCUCUCCCUACGUUUGUUAAGAUCGUCGAAGUAACCUUUUCUCCGAUUUUCAGUCACUAUCACCAAUAUUACUACAACCAUCUACUAACAUCAGUAAAACCCAGUAAUAACAGCAGUAGCAACAUCGCUAUCAGGCAUCGUGAAUCGGCCGUCGUCAUCGUGCUCUUUUGUCUAUCUCAUUCUUUCAUUCUAUCUUUUUAUCCCUUUCCUUCUCUUAACACAGCGUACUUGUAUUUAUGGUAAUUCAGUCGAUGCGUUUUAUCGACAAUGGCAGUACGUACCGCAAGUAUUAAAAGCCUCCUCUGUCAACCCUUUCUUCGAGCCCUCGCUCUUGGGGGAUGCACCCUAUCAUAGUCUCUCUCUCUCUCUCUCUCUCUCUCUCUUUCUUUCUUUCUUUCUUUCUUUCUCGUUCCAUCCCUCCCAAGGGAAAGUAUCGACUCCUGUUCCCUUCUCCCCCACUCCAACUCUUCUCUCUCAUCCUACUCACGGAUCUCAAUCGUUCGCAAAAAAUCUCAUUUAUCCAUUGUGUUCCGUGUUACUCGAUGGGUAGAGAAAUGAGAAAGAGAGAGACAGAGCAAUCGUAGA